This 804-nucleotide ribosomal RNA is filed under the name uncultured bacterium. RNAcentral's name for it is "bacterial SSU rRNA". It matches the Rfam family "Bacterial small subunit ribosomal RNA", at positions 8 to 860 of the family's 1533-position model. The record is from RNAcentral.
AGGGUUUGAUCCUGGCUCAGAACGUACGCUGGCGGCACGCCUAAUACAUGCAAGUCGAACGAAGUAGCAAUACUUAGUGGCAGACGGGUGAGUAACAUGUGGGUAUCUUCCCUUUGGUGAGGAAUAACACGAGGAAACUUGUGCUAAUACCUCAUAAGUCUUUACGGAGAAAGCUUUAUGCGCCAAUGGAUGAGCCCGCACUUGAUUAGUUUGUUGGUGAGGUAAUGGCUCACCAAGACUUUGAUCAAUAGCUGAUUUGAGAGGAUGAUCAGCCACAUUGGGACUGAGACACGGCCCAAACUCCUACGGGAGGCAGCAGUAGGGAAUCUUGCACAAUGGGGGAAACCCUGAUGCAGCGAUGCCGCGUGAGUGAAGAAGGCCUUUGGGUUGUAAAGCUCUUUCGUCGGGGAAGAAAAUGACUGUACCCGAAUAAGAAGGUCCGGCUAACUUCGUGCCAGCAGCCGCGGUAAUACGAAGGGACCUAGCGUAGUUCGGAAUUACUGGGCUUAAAGAGUUCGUAGGUUGUUAAAAAAGUUGGUGGUGAAAUCCCAGAGCUUAACUCUGGAACUGCCAUCAAAACUUUUUAGCUAGAGUUUGAUAGAGGAAAGCAGAAUUUCUAGUGUAGAGGUGAAAUUCGUAGAUAUUAGAAAGAAUACCAAUUGCGAAGGCAGCUUUCUGGAUCAUUACUGACACUGAGGAACGAAAGCAUGGGUAGCGAAGAGGAUUAGAUACCCUCGUAGUCCAUGCCGUAAACGAUGUGUGUUAGACGUUGGAAAUUUAUUUUCAGUGUCACAGCGAAAGCAA